Prosopis cineraria is the source of this 1538-nucleotide long non-coding RNA. RefSeq lists it as uncharacterized. The record is from RefSeq and is a predicted model, not a curated record. NCBI's taxonomy places the organism in Eukaryota, Viridiplantae, Streptophyta, Magnoliopsida, Fabales, Fabaceae. The transcript is spliced from 5 exons.
AAAUGACAACACCUAUUCUAAUAUCAGUUUUGAUAGGAACAAUUCUCAUUGCAGCAUCUGGAUAUUUCUUAUGGAUAAAAUGGUCAAGGCAAAAAGGGGAAAAGCAUAUGCAAAUUCACAACAAAGGGAGGAUUACGAACUUGAAGCAAGUCAAAAUUCAAGAGCUAUCAUUGUGAUUUUAGAGAGUUGGCAACUGCAACAAACAAAUUUGACCUAGCAAACAAGCUUGGGCAGGGUGGUUUUGUUCCAGUUUACAAGGGAAAGUUGGGAAAUGGACAGGAAAUUGCAGUAAAAAGACUUUCAAGAUCAUCUGGACAGGGUAUGGAAGAAUUUAUUAAUGAAGUGGAGUUGAUUUCAAAGCUCCAACACCGAAACCUUGUUAGACUUAUUGGAUGUUGCAUUGAAGGAGAAGAGAUAUUGGUUAUGAAUACAUGCCAAAAAAAAGUUUGGAUAGAUACAUCUUUGAUCCAUUGCAACAAAAAUGCUUAGAUUGGGGAAAGCGCUUCACCAUAAUGAGGGAAUAGCUAGAGGAUUGCUCUAUCUUCAUAGAGAUUCAAGAUUACGAAUUAUACAUAGAGAUUUGAAAGCAAGUAACAUAUUAUUGGAUGAAGAAAUGAAUCCAAAGAUAUCAGAUUUUGGGAUGGCUAAACUUUUUGGAGGUAAUGAAAAUCAAGCAACUACAAAAAGAAUUGUUGGCACAUAGUAAGUGGCCCUUUUCCUUUGUCCAAGAUAAUUACAUUUGUAGCAUAUUGAGAGCUCAAAGAUGUAGUUUAUAAAUGCAGUGGCUAUAUUUCUCCAGAAUAUGCAACAGAAGGACUCUAUUCGGAGAAAUCUGAUCUUUUUAACUUUGGUGUUUUACUGUUAGAGAUUAUUAGCGGACGAAAAAACACUAGCUUUUAUGAAGAUGCAGGAUAUUUCACACUUUUAGGAUUUGCAUGGAAAUUAUGGGUGGAUGACAAUGUUAUGCCUCUAAUAGAUCCACAAAUAUAUGAUCCAAGCUUUCACAAGGACAUAUUGCAGUGCAUACAUAUUGGGCUUUUGUGUGUGCAAGAACUUGCAAAAGAUAGACCCACUAUGGCCUCUGUAAUGUCAAUGCUUCAUUGUGAGAUCAUGGAUAUUCCUCCCCCAAAACAACCUGCAUUCAUCCUCAGGCAAACCAUGUCUCAUGCAGCAGAUCAAACUCUAAACAAUGAUGAAUUAUGUUCCAUCAAUAAAGUAACUAUCUCAAAUUUUGAGGGGAGAUAGACAGGGUUUUAUGAAGUUUCUGUUUCAUUUUGAGAGACCUAAGAUAUAUUCUUCAUCGGCAUAUACUUUGAUUACUUUCAAUAUCUCUUCAACAGGGUAGCUCUCCCUUGUUUCUACAAAAGAUUUUCUAUCCUGUUAAUACUAAACGUUUAGCAUGCUUGUUUUAUAAAAUGAUAUUUAUGGUCAUGUUCCCUCCUCUGAAUGCUAGUGUGUUUGUUCCAUUCUGCAUCUCUAUUCAUUUAAUAUGAGGUUCUUUCCAAAUCUGGCAAAGUGCUAGUUAAAAAUAAGCUUCC